GAAACAUGGCAUACACAGCGGUGUUGUGUGCUAUGGAUGACGUGGAAAACCUCGUGUGGAUUAGACAAAGUUAAGACUACAGGUGUAUAUUUAGUUUUUAAGAGAUAAAGUGUUUAAAGCAAAGUAUUUUAGAAAGUAUCCAUUCAUGCAGGAAUCUGAAAAUAUGAGUUAGAACAAGAAGCAUAUACACAUACAGUUGACGCCAACAUUUCGAUUAGUCCCAUCAGUCCAAUCACGUUUCAUGCCAAGGGGCUGUUCGUAUGGAACUGGGAUGAUUCGUUUAACAAGGCUCUUAUCACAGCUAUGAUAAACAUCCAAUGAUUUAAUUUUAUUUAUAAACUUCACAAUCAACAAAACGAUUGAAGGUAC
This is a non-coding RNA of Paramuricea clavata, 369 nucleotides long. Lineage: Eukaryota; Metazoa; Cnidaria; Anthozoa; Malacalcyonacea; Plexauridae. The record is from the annotation of a GenBank genome assembly.